RNAcentral lists this ribosomal RNA (396 nucleotides) under uncultured bacterium. Its description in RNAcentral is "bacterial SSU rRNA". It matches the Rfam family "Bacterial small subunit ribosomal RNA", at positions 69 to 482 of the family's 1533-position model. The record is from RNAcentral.
AUGAAGCCCUUCGGGGUGGAUUAGUGGCGAACGGGUGAGUAACACGUGGGCAAUCUGCCCUUCACUCUGGGACAAGCCCUGGAAACGGGGUCUAAUACCGGAUACCACUCCUGCCUGCAUGGGCGGGGGUUGAAAGCUCCGGCGGUGAAGGAUGAGCCCGCGGCCUAUCAGCUUGUUGGUGGGGUAAUGGCCCACCAAGGCGACGACGGGUAGCCGGCCUGAGAGGGCGACCGGCCACACUGGGACUGAGACACGGCCCAGACUCCUACGGGAGGCAGCAGUGGGGAAUAUUGCACAAUGGGCGAAAGCCUGAUGCAGCGACGCCGCGUGAGGGAUGACGGCCUUCGGGUUGUAAACCUCUUUCAGCAGGGAAGAAGCGAAAGUGACGGUACCUGC